This 248-nucleotide unclassified non-coding RNA is filed under the name Hevea brasiliensis (rubber tree). Lineage: Eukaryota; Viridiplantae; Streptophyta; Magnoliopsida; Malpighiales; Euphorbiaceae. The record is from RNAcentral.
AAUGCCACCACCACACCACAAUACUCCAUGGCCGAGAAAACAGAAAAUGCAGCGAGCUCUCUCUCCCUCUCUAACUAUCUCAAUUCAGAGACUGAAACCAAAAGUGCGUGUGAGAAAUAGAGAAAAGAGAAGGACAAACAAAGGAGUAAUAAUGAGAAUGCUGAAAUUUGAAAACCCUAAAAUCGGGGGGUUUUGUGGGAUCACUGUUGAAGAAGAGAGUAUCAAAGGAAGAAAGAGACGCACAAGAC